Non-coding RNA from Oryza glumipatula, 204 nucleotides. The record is from Rfam. NCBI's taxonomy places the organism in Eukaryota, Viridiplantae, Streptophyta, Magnoliopsida, Poales, Poaceae.
AAAAAGGCAAACCCUGAGUUUUCGUGUCCAACAUUUGACUGUCCGUCUUAUAUAAAUUUUUUUUAUAAUUAGUAUUUUCAUUGUUAGUAGAUGAUAAAACAUGAUUUAUACUUUAUACGUGACUUAUCUUUUAUUUUUUUAUAUUUUUUUCAAAUAAUACGGACGGUCAAACGUUGGACACAGAAAUACCGUGUUUGUCUUUUU